This 359-nucleotide ribosomal RNA is filed under the name uncultured bacterium. RNAcentral describes it as "bacterial SSU rRNA". It matches the Rfam family "Bacterial small subunit ribosomal RNA", at positions 152 to 507 of the family's 1533-position model. The record is from RNAcentral.
CGAAAGCUACGCUAAUACCGCAUACGAUCUAUGGAUGAAAGCGGGGGAUCGCAAGACCUCGCGCGAUUGGAGCGGCCGAUAUCAGAUUAGGUAGUUGGUGAGGUAAAGGCUCACCAAGCCGACGAUCUGUAGCUGGUCUGAGAGGACGACCAGCCACACUGGGACUGAGACACGGCCCAGACUCCUACGGGAGGCAGCAGUGGGGAAUUUUGGACAAUGGGCGCAAGCCUGAUCCAGCAAUGCCGCGUGCAUGAUGAAGGCCUUCGGGUUGUAAACUGCUUUGUACGGAACGAAACGGUGAGCUCUAAUACAGUUUGCUAAUGACGGUACCGUAAGAAUAAGCACCGGCUAACUACGUG